This 365-nucleotide ribosomal RNA is filed under the name uncultured Glomus. RNAcentral describes it as "SSU rRNA". It matches the Rfam family "Eukaryotic small subunit ribosomal RNA", at positions 569 to 943 of the family's 1831-position model. The record is from RNAcentral. Lineage: Eukaryota; Fungi; Glomeromycota; Glomeromycetes; Glomerales; Glomeraceae.
AGCAGCCGCGGUAAUUCCAGCUCCAAUAGCGUAUAUUAAAGUUGUUGCAGUUAAAAAGCUCGUAGUUGAAUUUCGGGAUCAAGUUGUCGGUCGUGCCUCGGUACGCACUGGUGACAUUGGUUUCUCCUUCUGAAGAACCUUGAUGUCAUUAAUUUGGUGUCUUGGGGAAUCAGGACUGUUACUUUGAAAAAUUGAGUGUUUAAAGCAGGCUCACGCUUGAAUACAUUAGCAUGGAAUAAUGAAAUAGGACGUUUGAUUCUAUUUUGUUGGUUUCUAGGAUCGACGUAAUGAUUAAUAGGGAUAGUUGGGGGCAUUAGUAUUCAAUUGUCAGAGUGAAAUUCUUGGAUUUAUUGAAGACUAACUAC